This 251-nucleotide ribosomal RNA is filed under the name uncultured Anaerolineaceae bacterium. Its description in RNAcentral is "partial 16S ribosomal RNA". It matches the Rfam family "Bacterial small subunit ribosomal RNA", at positions 1126 to 1382 of the family's 1533-position model. The record is from RNAcentral. Lineage: Bacteria; Bacillati; Chloroflexota; Anaerolineae; Anaerolineales; Anaerolineaceae.
UAUAUGUGUCAUACGAGACUGCCGGUAAAAGCCGGAGGAAGGUGAGGAUGAUGUCAAGUCAGCAUGACCUUUAUAUCCAGGGCUACACACACGCUACAAUGGUCUGUACAAUGGGUAGCCAAGCCGCGAGGCGGAGCCAAUCCUGAAAGCAGGCCUCAGUUCAGAUUGCAGUCUGCAACUCGACUGCAUGAAGCCGGAGUUGCUAGUAACCGCAGGUCAGCAAUACUGCGGUGAAUACGUUCCCGGGUCUU